GCCAAAAUAGCUCAGUUGGGAGAGCGUUAGACUGAAGAUCUAAAGGUCCCUGUUUCAAUCCCAGGGUUUAGGCA
Cheilinus undulatus (humphead wrasse) is the source of this 74-nucleotide non-coding RNA. Lineage: Eukaryota; Metazoa; Chordata; Actinopteri; Labriformes; Labridae. The record is from the annotation of a RefSeq genome assembly.